AUGAAAUGCCUUUGUGUCCACAUAGACUCAAAAAGUGCUGCAGAUUCAGACUGCCAUCUGUCCUCAUUAAAAUCACAGUGACAACAGCACUGGUCUGCAUUGACAAUUCUCUUGAAAAGCCCAUGAACCUUGAGCAGCGUUGCAGAAAUCCUGCAUUUCUGCCAUAACAAGCCUGGCAGCCUGGAGAGAGCUGAUGUGACUGGCUCCAACAUGUAUUCUCCACAUCCACAGAGCUUUGCUUUGCUGUACUGCCAUGGUGGAUGCUGACAUGAGCACCCACGAGGGCACAGCUUGCCCUGCAUGUCUUCAUUGACCCAAUCCAGCAACUUUUGUGACUGAAGGUAAGAGCAAGCCAAGAAUUACAGAGUUCCCUGGUUCACUGCUGUUGUCCCUG
Molecule: long non-coding RNA, 394 nt
Organism: Catharus ustulatus (Swainson's thrush)
Lineage: Eukaryota; Metazoa; Chordata; Aves; Passeriformes; Turdidae
Exons: 4
Source: RefSeq, a predicted model, not a curated record